AAUUGAUAUAAAUAGCUAAAUAAAAUAAUUGAUUAAUUUAGAGUAAUAAGAAAAAUAUUUUUAUAAUAAAGAAUAAUGAGUAAAGUUAAUUGAAUAUAAGUAGAUUAAAAGCGAUAGUGAAGUAGUACUGAAGGGGAAAUUUGAAAUAUAAUUAAAUAAUAAAUAUUAAUAGAAGUAAUUUUUAAAAUUUGUACCUUGUGUAUCAGGGAAAAUCAAAAUUUAUAAUUUAUAAAUUUAUAUCUCGGUGAAAAAGUGUCUAAUUAUAUUUGGUAAUUUAUGUAGGAAAAUAAUAUAAAAAAUAUAAUUAGUGGUGAAAUGUUGAUCGAAUUUUUAUAUCUAGUUGUUUUUGAAAUAAAUUUAAUUUAAUCUAUUUUUAGAAUUAAAAAUGGGUAAAGUAUAGGAGGGAUGAGCUUUUUAUACAAAGAUAAUAAAAUAGAAGAAAUAUUUACGGAAAUAAUAUAUAAAUAGGCUUAGAGGUAGCAAUUUUUAUAGUGUGUUCUAACUAAUAAAAUAAAACAAAAUAUAAUUCUCUAUUUUAAGGUAGAAAACUUAAAUAAUUAAUAUUAAUUUAUUUGUAAAAUUGAUUUUAUUAGUAGUAUUUAUAAUUUAAAAAUAUAAUUAAAUAUAUUUAUAAUUUUAAUAUAUGUUUGUUUUUAUUAAGGAAUUCGGCAAAAAAGGUUUCUGCCUGUUUAUCAAAAACAUGUCCUAUUGGAGUUUUAAUAGGUCUGGCCUGCCCACUGAAGUUUAAAGGGCCGCGGUAUUUUGACCGUGCGAAGGUAGCAUAAUCAUUAGUUUUUUAAUUGAAGGCUGGUAUGAAUGGUCGGACAAGAAAUAAGCUGUCUUUAUAGAAAUUAUUGAAUUUAACAUUUAAGUAAAAAGGCUUAAAUAAAUUAAGGGGACGAUAAGACCCUAUAAAGCUUUAUAUUUUCUUUAUUUUAUUAAGGAUGUGUUAUGGAAAUUAAUUUAUUAAAGAAAUUAUUGUGUUGGGGCGACAAAAGUAAAUUAUAGUAUCUGCUUUAUUUUUUUAACAAUGAUUUUUGUAGAAUUAAUUGAUCCUAAUUAUAGAUUAUAAGUUUAAGUUACUUUAGGGAUAACAGCGUAAUUUUUCCUGAGAGCUCAUAUCGAAGGAGAAGUUUGCGACCUCGAUGUUGAAUUAAAUUAUCUUCUUAUGUGCAGCAGCUAAGAUAGAUGGUCUGUUCGACCUUUAAAGAUUUACAUGAUUUGAGUUCAAACCGGCGUAAGCCAGGUUGGUUUCUAUCUCUUGAUUAAGUGAGAUUUUUUUAGUACGAAAGGAUUAAAAAGUUUAAAUAUUUUAUAAGUUGUAUUAUAAUAAUUAAUUUACGAAAUUGCUAAUAAUUUUGUGAAAAAUAAUUUAUUAGUUAACUGUUUGUAUUAAUAAAAUAGUUUAUG
Molecule: ribosomal RNA, 1410 nt
Filed under: Austinogebia edulis
Lineage: Eukaryota; Metazoa; Arthropoda; Malacostraca; Decapoda; Upogebiidae
Description: large subunit ribosomal RNA
Rfam family: Archaeal large subunit ribosomal RNA (bases 641-1410)
Source: RNAcentral